UACCCUAUGCGUACACAAAAGAAAAAAAGAAGAAGAAGCAGCAGAUGUUCGUGUGUGAUUUUUUCACUUUGGAAUGGCGCGAAGUUUUGUAGGCCAUAAAUGGAACCAAAUUGCACAUGAAGAUUAUUUAAAGACUAGCAUAUGAAGCAAGUCAACUACUAACUUUGUUGAUAUUGCGAUGCUGCCUAUUGCCAUCAGACUUCCAAAGCAUGUGUUCCGGAAUUCUGCUGGUAAUCUUAUUGAUGGCAAUGCCAGGACAAUACAGCGUCUUCCACUUCUCAAGCGGAGGCGCAUGCUGUCUGUAUGGCCUGUCUAAUGGUUCAUGCACAUCAUGCUAUGCCUGUGGAGAUUGAGAGUGAUAAUCGUCAAAUUAUUCAGCUGAGUGUAGCAGAAACAGUCCCUCCGUGGGAGUUGAGUGCUCUCAUUUUGGAUAUUCGUUGGUUAGCUUCUCAACAUCAGAUGGCCUUCUCCUGGACUGGUUGUAUGAACAAGAAGGUGGCACACUGGGUCGCGACGGCUAACUCACCCCCUGUUUCGUGGGUUGGUGUACCUCCUGUUCCUCUAAGGGAAUUAUUAUCAUCGGAUGUAACUUCUUCUGCAGUUUGAAUGAAGAUGCUAGUGUUCAAAAAAGAAAAAAAAAAGAUAUAGCAAUUAACAAGCUCUAUGAUCUAGUAUGUAUUUCCAGAUAUUGAUUCACAAUUACGGUCAUGUUUUUGUUGAACUUUCAUGUUUUUUUGCCUAGUAUUGUAUCCUUUUUAUCCAAAUUGUUUUUUGAAAUUUUGUGUAGAAGUUUCUUUCAAUUCAAAAGGACUGUGUACAUUUUCAAUUCAAAAAAGUACCCAACAGAUCAAAUCUAUUCAUGGGGUUAGGAAAUGAGAUUUUGUAAGUACAAUUUCUUUUUAUAAUUAAGGUUGGUUGGCGUUUUGCUUGAUUGAUGUGAAUUUAUGAUGGGAUUGCCUUAUAUCUCUAGAAGAAGGCCAUUACACAGUGUUACUUCUGCCAAUGCGUGGUUCUAGGCUGUAGCAAGAAACUUCUAUGGAGGCCCCCAUUCCCAACCUUAAACUCUUCUAUAGGGCCCUCAAUCCCCCAUCGAUCCCUAGUCCUGCUACCAGCUCUUCAGGAUUUCUUAAGACUGUGACUCAUGAUCGAGAGAGAGAGAGAGAGAGAUUGUUUUACGAAAUUUAACUUGGAUGAAUCUACCAAAGAAAUGGUUCAUAAUCUAUAAAAAUUUUGAAAGAGCAUUGAUAUAUCUCACAGAAAUAUAUGAUUCAUCGAAGUGAUAUUGUGGUGGCUCUAUUCAUAAUCUUUUUUGUUUACAUUUUCUUUAAAUUUAAGGAAGUCACUUAAAAGGUAGCCAAAGAUAGCUCAAUGGACGAGACUCUCACCGCUACGCAGCCUUAUCUCCUCUUAUGAAGAGACUGUUUUCGUAUUUUGAACUCAUGGUACCCAAGUCACAAUAGAACAACCUUACCACAAACGAUGGCGAACACUUUUUCCACUAUAGCCUUGUAGGUAAACAACAUGGAUGGAGAUAUAUGAGGAAGAGAAUCAAAAAGUAGGCAAAAAAACUAACAUUAGUUUAUUGUAUUUGCCUUUUCUUUUAUUGGCCACACCCUGGGAUUUUAUACAUAUCAUUUAUAAGACAAGACAACUAUGGUUGCCUCUGCUAGCAAAGCUUAUUUUACUAAAAUAC
Molecule: non-coding RNA, 1693 nt
Organism: Camellia sinensis
Lineage: Eukaryota; Viridiplantae; Streptophyta; Magnoliopsida; Ericales; Theaceae
Source: RefSeq, a predicted model, not a curated record